RNAcentral lists this ribosomal RNA (143 nucleotides) under Rhizophagus fasciculatus. Lineage: Eukaryota; Fungi; Glomeromycota; Glomeromycetes; Glomerales; Glomeraceae. The record is from RNAcentral.
CAGUCGUACUUAUGGGUAAUCAGCCUUUUGGGUGUAAUUCUGUGGGGCGUGAGGAGCUUAACCGCCUUCAUGCCUGCAUAUUCGUGCUCUUGGGUGUACUUGCUCGUGUGGUUAGGUUAACAUCAAUUUCGGACGCCAAUAAA